GGGGGCGUUGAAGAGGCCGCUCUUUUUGCAAGGCCCAAGAUGGCGGGCCCUGCUCAGGCCGCGCUAUUUCGCGCCCUCAGGGCGUCAGUAUCCUGUUGGGGCCGGAUGCCCCCGCUGGGCCCGGAGCAUCCUUGGAGCUGCCCUCGCAGAGCCGCGCUGAGGCUGAGGUGGCGCGGGGGGUCCGGGCUCCGCGAGGAGCGGCGGCAGCGAGGGCUGGAGGACCCGGGCUCCGGGGCUCCAGGCAUCUGGCCUGGGUGGGACUGAACCCAUCCAGGGACUGGGACUCCCGGGUUCUGGUGCGGGUGGAUCCUGUGCAGACUCAGGACCAAGUCCCUCUCCUUCCACCAAGGAGCCCCCAGAGGCCGGCGGGAGCUCCAGGUUCACCUUCUCCUCCUUCAGGAAAUCCUACUUCCAACUGGAUGUCUGGAUGAACUACUGAAAGCCACUGAGUAUCCUGCAGCAGGUGAACUGUGGCCAGAGCCCAAGGAUGAAGGGGGCUCCCUCUGUGACUGUGAAGAGGAAGCCUGAGGGUUGGACCCAAGAUUCUGUACUUCUAUGGAGCCCUGUGUUCUGCCCAGGUGUCAUUUACUCUCAGAGUCCUGGAAGAAGAAAUGAACACUGCUGAGAAAGAUGUUCCACAAGGAGGAAGGAGUCACCGUUUUCAGGAGCAUGAUCCCCAGAAGCAUGAGAAAUCCAGAUGCCAUGGCUUUACACAGGACGCUGGAGUUUCUUUCCUCUGGAUCCAGGACCUUGGCAUCGGUGUUCUGUAAUGCCCAUAACUGAAUUUGAGUGUUGCACCCAAGAUUCUGUGAUUCUACAGAGUCCUGAGUUCUGUCCUGGACAUCUCUACUCUUGGGUAGGUCAACUUUGAUCACUGUACCUAAUGAUAAAUGUACCGUUAAAUCUAAUCAGCAAAUACACUAAAGGAAGGGGCCAUUCUCCACAAUUGUUUCACUCUGGUAGGUCAACUUUAAUAACUGUACCUAAGAAGAAAGGGAUCUGUGAUGAUUCCACAUCAAAGAACCUGUUGACUUUUUGCCAUUUGAAUGAAUUAUGUUAACAUUUAAAUAGAGUUUAAAACCCCAGAUUUCCCAUGAAAUCUAAUCAGCAGAUACACAAAAGGAAGGGGCCAUUCUCCAAAAUCAUUUCCACUGAAACACCACCACCAAUAAACAAGUCUCAUUGCAGGAAAGGGAUCCUGCUUCCAAGAUCCAGUUUGCACAGUUGGAAGAUUGACCCAGAAUCUCCCCUAAUGCCAUUUUUUUUUACACCUGAAGUGAGAUUUAUUUCAGGGUUUUCUAAUUUUAUUUCAGCUGAAUACACACAGUCUUGUGUUUCAAUUUCUUUCAAACACCUUUUAAUAAUGAAGUAUCUUGCUGCUUCACCCCAUAACUAAUGCCCACCCACCGGUUCCACUACAUUUACCCAUCAAUUACCCAAUUUACCAAUGAAAUAUCAGUAGUCAAUUAAGUUUUGUGUCUUAGGUUGUAUCCUUUUGCAUUCCUCAGGGAAUUUAAUGGACAUAGCUUAAAUUGUGAUUAUAGAACAGUUGAAUCAGAUUUACUAAUCAGUGUUAUGGGCAAAUAUGAUAGGAGUGGAACUGGGUUAGGGCAGGGGCUACACAUUUGCCUUAUUUCAUGUAAAACAAUGCCAGUUAACAAUUGUGUACAUAUUAAACAUUUUGUGUCUGUGUGUGUAUUUGUGUCUUUGUGUCUGGAUGUGUGUGUGUGUGUGUUGAGAAGUACUUCCAAGUAUGUGCAUCUGGGAGAUAAGAUCAUUCAGCAACUGAAUGACAAGAAGUUGGAACUACACUUUCUGAUUUGAGAAUGUGCAGUGAUGUUAUGUAAUUAACACAGCAUAUUCUGUCUUAAUUAAGAUGGAGAGAUCAAUGGAAUCAAAUAGACAUUCUAGAGAUAACCUUCCCAUUUUUGGCCAAUUGAUUCAUGAUCUGGCUGUGGGGACAAGCAAGUCUGCGUGAAAUGGUCUUGUGGAAGCAAUAUAUGCAAAUAAUAAAGCAUCAAAUGGGACUAUGCCUUCAAUUUGUAGAAACAUUCACUUAAGUUUGAUGAAAUUCUCAAUGCCCAAAAUAGACUGUGGACCACUUUCAAGAAAACAUGCUAUAACCCAGAGAUUAAUUGAUGACAUCCACCAAAGUUAUGACUGCAAGAAAAGAGAAAUAUUCAUGGCAUUUUAUAUCCAAGGGUUUCUUGUAUAUGACAGCAUAUUUUAAAAAGUCAAAAUCAGAAAAACUUGACAAACAGGAAGAUAUCUAAGCUAAAACCUUUUGUUCA
Non-coding RNA from Macaca mulatta (Rhesus monkey), 2291 nucleotides. NCBI's taxonomy places the organism in Eukaryota, Metazoa, Chordata, Mammalia, Primates, Cercopithecidae. The record is from RefSeq and is a predicted model, not a curated record.